This 435-nucleotide ribosomal RNA is filed under the name Rhizobium sp. CL3.50. Its description in RNAcentral is "bacterial SSU rRNA". It matches the Rfam family "Bacterial small subunit ribosomal RNA", at positions 17 to 499 of the family's 1533-position model. The record is from RNAcentral. Lineage: Bacteria; Pseudomonadati; Pseudomonadota; Alphaproteobacteria; Hyphomicrobiales; Rhizobiaceae.
CCCUGGCUCAGAACGAACGCUGGCGGCAGGCUUAACACAUGCAAGUCGAGCGCCUCGCAAGAGGAGCGGCAGACGGGUGAGUAACGCGUGGGAAUCUACCCAUCUCUACGGAAUAACUCAGGGAAACUUGUGCUAAUACCGUAUACGCCCUUAGGGGGAAAGAUUUAUCGGAGAUGGAUGAGCCCGCGUUGGAUUAGCUAGUUGGUGGGGUAAAGGCCUACCAAGGCGACGAUCCAUAGCUGGUCUGAGAGGAUGAUCAGCCACAUUGGGACUGAGACACGGCCCAAACUCCUACGGGAGGCAGCAGUGGGGAAUAUUGGACAAUGGGCGCAAGCCUGAUCCAGCCAUGCCGCGUGAGUGAUGAAGGCCUUAGGGUUGUAAAGCUCUUUCACCGGAGAAGAUAAUGACGGUAUUCCGGAGAAGAAGCCCCGGCUA